CUUGCUUCUCUUGAGAGCGGCGGACGGGUGAGUAAUGCCUAGGAAUCUGCCUGGUAGUGGGGGAUAACGUCCGGAAACGGACGCUAAUACCGCAUACGUCCUACGGGAGAAAGCAGGGGACCUUCGGGCCUUGCGCUAUCAGAUGAGCCUAGGUCGGAUUAGCUAGUUGGUGGGGUAAUGGCUCACCAAGGCGACGAUCCGUAACUGGUCUGAGAGGAUGAUCAGUCACACUGGAACUGAGACACGGUCCAGACUCCUACGGGAGGCAGCAGUGGGGAAUAUUGGACAAUGGGCGAAAGCCUGAUCCAGCCAUGCCCCGUGUGUGAAGAAGGUCUUCGGAUUGUAAAGCACUUUUAAAUUGGG
This 363-nucleotide ribosomal RNA is filed under the name uncultured bacterium. RNAcentral's name for it is "bacterial SSU rRNA". It matches the Rfam family "Bacterial small subunit ribosomal RNA", at positions 79 to 445 of the family's 1533-position model. The record is from RNAcentral.